This 3091-nucleotide long non-coding RNA is filed under the name Sus scrofa (pig). RNAcentral describes it as "lncRNA (ENSSSCG00000060140.1)". The record is from RNAcentral. Lineage: Eukaryota; Metazoa; Chordata; Mammalia; Artiodactyla; Suidae.
UGGAGGUUCCCAAGCUAGGGGUUGAAUCGGAGCUGUAGCUGCCGGCCUACACCACAGCCACAGCAAUGUCAGAUCCAAGCCAUGCCUGUGACCUACACCACAGCUCACGGCAACACCAGAUCCUUAACCCGCUGAGCAAGGCCAGGGAUUGAACCUGCAACCUCAUGGUUACUAGUUAAAUUCGUUUCUGCUGAGCCACAACAGGAACUCCGAAAGCAUUCAAUAAUUUAUCAUUAAACACGAUAUUAGCUGUAGGUGUUUGUAGAAUUUUUUACUAGAUUAAGAAUGUUCUCAUCUUCUUAGUUUUCUGAAAUUAAAAAAAAAUCAUAAACAAACAAAAUCAUAAACAAGUGUUGAAUUUUAGAAAAUGCUUUUUCCUACAUUUGGGAUGAUAAUGUUUUUUCUCUUUUACUUGGUCAAUGUAAUGAACUGCAUCAUUCUUUAAUUUAAAUUUUUGUUUUUGUUUUGGCCACACUUGUGGCCAUGCAGAAGUUCCUGGGCCAGGGAUUGAAUCCGUGCCACAGGAGCGGCCUGAGCCACAGCAGUGACAAUGUCAGAUCCUUAACCUGCUGAACCACUAGGGAAUUCCACUUUAAAAUUUUCUUUUGGCUUUUUUUCUUUUUUUUUAGGACCACACCCACAGCAUAUGGAGGCUCCCAGGCUAGGGGUAGAAUUGGAGCUGUAGCUGCUGGCCUAUACUACAGCCACAGCAACACCAGAUACUUAACUCACUGAGCGAGGCUAGGGAUCGAACAUGCAUCCUCAUAGAUACUAGUCAUUUCCACUGUGCCAUGAUGGGAAGUAAUUCCUUCACUUUUUGAUUUUUAAAUCAACUUUGUAUUCAUGAAAUGAACCAACUUAGAUCAUGAUAAACCUUUUUACAUAUCCUUGGAUUUUUUUGCAUUUUCUUUAGGACCUUGCAUUUCUACUUUGGGUAGUGUCUGAAAAUGUUAUGUGCAUGGCAGGUGCUCAGAUGCAUAAACUCCCAAUUGUGCCUGGGUCAGACUCUGGGUCAUUGUUGGAGGGCUUCAUCCAAGGCAUGGUUUCCUCAUCCUUGUCUAUUCCAAACUAGCUUCUCAUCACUCUGCAAGGGGCACUUCAGAAAAGAGACCACUUUAUUCAUCAAUCAAAUGUGCUCACGCCUGGUGGAGUGCCCAAAUCUGAUCAGGAUGAUACUGGGAUAAUUACAGUCCCAGCAACUUGGUGGCAUUCUAGAACUGGCUUAUAUUGGCUUGUUACAACAGAUGGUUAAAUUUUAGGAACUGUGAAAGCUGGUUAUUGAUUAUAAUCAUUAUUAAAAAUUAAAUCAUAGGAGUUCCUACUGGGGCACAAUGGGAUUAGCAGCAUCUCUGGAACCCUGGGAUGCAGGUUCCAUCCCCAGCCCAGCACAGUAGGUUAAGGCUCUGGCUGCAGCUUCGGCAUAGGUCAGAACUGCAGCUCAUAUCUGAUCCCUGGCCCUGGCCUGGGAACCCCAUAUGCUGCAGGGCGACCAAACAAAAGGGAGGGGGAACAUUUAAAAAAAAAUUGAAUCAUAUCAACUUGUAAUGAAAUAACUUAUGUUAAGAAUAAAGGUAAUGAAUACCUAAACUCAUCACUUUUAAAUUCUAUUACUAUUAUCUUUGCCCUAUGGGUAAUUUACAUUUAUUGUCUCUAUAUCAUGGAAAUACUAUGUAAUGGCAGGCCACCAAUCAUCUUUCCCAACUCUGUAUUUAGUGGCAUCACACUGGAGCUUGCAAUUGGCUGUGGGGGGAGUAUUUGCACAAUGGAAAACAGAAAACACUACAAAUCAGGGUUUUUAAAUUUUCCCCAGAGAGCUGGUAGUUAAACAUUUACAAGCACAUCACUGUAGCAACUCUGCCAUCUGCUUCCUGCAUCUCUUCCUUUUUUGGUACCAUCCGACAUACUCUAUAUUCACCAGCUUAUUUGUUUGUGUACCUUUCCUACUGGAAGAUAAAUUCCACGAGGUUGGAGAUUUUUUGUUUUCAUUGCUGUAGUGUCCUUAGCACCACCAGCCAUACCUGGCACAUGGCAGGUCCUCGAUAAAUAUUGGCUGAAUGAAUGGACAUUGGUGUCCUCACAUCUUCCCCUGCCUAACUCCCGCGUGCACCCAGUCAUCAAGUUCCACGAAUAGGGCCCUUCUACAUCAGCUUGCUCCUCCCCAACCCUACUCCUAAGGUCCUGUGAACUGGAGAUUGACACAUGCCAUCUGCCUCUACACAUACUGAAUCACGAGCCACUGCAGCUGUGGACCCUCAAUAGCCCUUGAAAGGAGCUCAGGGUGGGGAUCAGGAGUGAGGGGCUCUGUGCUCUGGGAAAACUGGCAGAACGGGUCUUUAGAUAGUUAGAUAUUUUCAGGAGAAGAUUUUAUACAAGCCCAAUUCUUGCAUCUCCUAGUACCUGGAAAAGCACUAAAAUCCUUCAUGGUGACAUCUGCUCCUUGUGACAAGGAGUAAACUUCAGGGGACUAACAGCAACCUUCUGUAAAAUGUGUGCCUAGUUGCAUGUACCUCUCUCUUCACCAAAAUCACAUAGGUACUGAUCUUCCCCCUGCCUCUUUGCACAGUAUUUCAGAGCUAUCUGAAAUGCUGCCUCCUGGGCUGUAGUCCUCAUUUUGCCCCAAGUAAAACUUAACUCUCACCUUUUUUUUUUUUUUUUUGUCUUUUUUGCCAUUUCUUGGGCCGCUCCCGCUGCAUAUGGAGGUUCCCAGGCUAGGGAUCUAAUUGGAGCUGUAGUUGCUGGCCUACGCCGGAGUCACAGCAACACAGGAUCCAAGCCAUGUCUGUGACCUACACCACAGCUCACAACAACGCCGGAUCCUUAAUCCACUGAGCAAGGCCAGGGAUUGAACCCGCAACCUCAUGGUCCCUAGUCGGAUUCGUUAACCACUGAGCCAUGACGGGAACUCCAAAGGUGACAGACUUCAUCCAGGCCUUCCUUCUGUCUUUGGGACCAAGAGCCCUUCCCUUGAUUUCUCCACCACUACUUCUGUCUACUUGUUAAGCCCCCUUCUAUAAACCUUCAGGAAGGCUGUACAGAAACACAAAUUAAACCUCAUCAUUCCUGCUUCAAGCCUGCUGCUGUGGCUCCUGAA